RNAcentral lists this long non-coding RNA (1461 nucleotides) under Malus domestica (apple). RNAcentral describes it as "long non-coding RNA (MDOM_LNC016267)". Lineage: Eukaryota; Viridiplantae; Streptophyta; Magnoliopsida; Rosales; Rosaceae. The record is from RNAcentral.
GGCAGUGACAUAUUCGAUAAUGUCAAAUUGUCAUAUAAAAAUGGGGAAGGGAUCGGAAUAUCCUAUAUUCCCAUGGGAGAAGUGAUCUAUAUUUUGGGUGUAAAUGACUCCAAAUGAGAAAUCCUAUGUAAAAUGUGAUUUUUUUUUAAAAAAAAUAUUGUAAAUUAAUCGAUUUUUAUGAAAUGGUCACACCGUCACUCAAAGAAAAAAAGUAAUUUUUUAUGAAAAUUUUAUAUUGCAAAUUGGUAUUCAAGUUAGUAUCGAAGACUUUGUUUAAUCGUCAAAUUGAUGAGUUCUCAAAGUUAGUAUUUGAUUAAAAUUAAGGCCAAAUUGGAUUAUUCAUCCCCGUGGUCAUAGGAAACUUGCAUGAUGACCUCCGUGGUGAAAAAACUAGGAAUUAAACCCCUGUGGUCAAGAAUGUUAGCAAAUUUAGUCCAAAAGUAAGAUUUCUGUUAAAUGACUGUUAAAAGUAUGAGUAAAACUGUAUUUUCAGUUCCAAUUGACAUUUAAAAUAAAUAUUUUUUUAUAACAAUUAACAAAAAAAAUAAUGCUUAAUUUUUUAAAUAAAAAAAAGCCCCAAUUCAAUGUCAAUUGGAACUGAAAUACAGUUUUACCCCAACUUUUAACAGUCCUUUAACAGAAAUCUUACUUUUGGACUAAAUUUGUUAACAUUCUAGACCACGAGGGUUUAAUUCCUAGUUUUUUCACCACAGAUGUCUUCAUGCAAGUGUCUUAUGACCACGGGGAUGAACAAUCCAAUUUAGCCUAAAAUUAAUGUUGUGUAUGAACUCUAGUAUUUUAGUUUGGGGAAACAUUGUCUUUUCGCAUGGAGGAAAAGUACAAAUUCAAGUUGACUUGUUUUGCUUUGUGUAAUUCCCAAUUGGAAGUCUAAAACAAUGUAUUUAUUGAGUAUUAGAUGUGUAAUGUUAGACAGAUGGCAUGAUCUUGUAUUGACAAAUGUCAUAAUCUUGUGAGGUUGGUUGUUAGAGGUGUUAGCUUAGUCAAUAAGCUACUGUGCUUACUAUAAAUACGGAAUUACAUCAGAUUGUAACUAAUCUUUCCAAUCAUUCAUUACUGCAAUACAAAAGAAUAUUCUCUUCACUCUCUUCUUUCUCUCUCUCUCGAUACAUUUCUUGAUUUUCAGCUUCUGCAACUCUGUUAUGAUGGUAUCCAUAGCUAGAUUCUCGAUUUGAUCCUAAGAAUUAGUGCUGGAAUUCAAAAUGGUGGAAGGUUUUGUGCGUGGAGUUAGAAUUUUUUUUUUUUUUGUGGCGGUGGAGAUUCCUGUUCGUCGGUGCCAUGUCAAUGUAUUCCAAUUUCAUCUUUCACGCUGAUUUCUUUGAAGAUUUGAUGGUAUCUGUUGGUACCAUAUAUUGGGCCUCGUCUUUGGGCCUUAUCCCUAAGCCCAUGACAAAUGUAAAAGGGGAGGGAGCCCUUAUUCUAUAAAAUGGACUCUCCCUCACC